AUGAACGCUGGCGGCGUGCCUCAUACCUGCAAGUCGAGCGAACAGACGAGGAGCUUGCUCCUCUGAUGUUAGCGGCGGACGGGUGAGUAACACGUGGAUAACCUACCUAUAAGACUGGGAUAACUUCGGGAAACCGGAGCUAAUACCGGAUAACAUGUUGAACCGCAUGGUUCAACAGUGAAAGACGGUCUUGCUGUCACUUAUAGAUGGAUCCGCGCCGCAUUAGCUAGUUGGUAAGGUAACGGCUUACCAAGGCAACGAUGCGUAGCCGACCUGAGAGGGUGAUCGGCCACACUGGAACUGAGACACGGUCCAGACUCCUACGGGAGGCAGCAGUAGGGAAUCUUCCGCAAUGGGCGAAAGCCUGACGGAGCAACGCCGCGUGAGUGAAGAAGGUCUUCGGAUCGUAAAACUCUGUUAUUAGGGAAGAACAAAUGUGUAAGUAACUAUGCACGUCUUGACGGUACCUAAUCAGAAAGCCACGGCUAACUACGUG
RNAcentral lists this ribosomal RNA (496 nucleotides) under uncultured bacterium. Its description in RNAcentral is "partial 16S ribosomal RNA". It matches the Rfam family "Bacterial small subunit ribosomal RNA", at positions 29 to 507 of the family's 1533-position model. The record is from RNAcentral.